CGCAUCCAGCGCCCCGCCGCCACCCCUCGCGGUGAUCUAUGUGGGCGACGUCCACGGCUACAUCACGAAGCUGGAGAGCCUCUGUUCCAACCUCUAGGCCGCACUCCCCGCCGACGCCUUGGCCACCGCGCUGGUCAUCUUCCUCGGCGACUACAACGACCGCGGCCCGCACACCCGCAGGGUUCUCAACUUUCUCCUCGCGCUCCCGACGCGCUACCCAGCGCAGCGCCAUGUCUUCCUCUGCGGCAACCACGACCUCGCCUUCGUGGCGUUCGUUGGGGCGCUGCCGCUGCCGCCCAACGGCUCCCUGUUCUUUGGCCACCUGCGCAGCGCCAUCUCUCUGUCCUCCCUCUCUCGCUCAUCCUCCCCCACCGCCCUGCUUAUUUACGCCCAUUUCUUAAGAGAGGAUUUGAUAGCCUGUCAGAAUAAAAGAGCUCGAGGAAAUUGCGGCGGCCGGAAAUUCUGGUCAUGGUGCCACACAAACACGAUAAUCUGCUUCAUCCUCGACGGAAUUGCCGUCGGGGUCGGGCGAUUCUUCGGAGGACAAGCGCCUCUGUUUCGUUGAGCUAGCUAGGUCCAUGGGGAUUAGUCAGGACACUCAUGAGUCGAUGGCAACAGAUGCAGCCAAUUACCUUUGCCACCAGCUUCAGCAUCUUCUUGGGCCUAUCUCUUCUGCGACGAGCCAAAGUGGCCCCUGGGAGGAGAGGUCGGCGAUGGUUAGGUUGACUCAGAAGCUGCAGAAAUCUAAGAGAAAUAAGCGGUGGCGGCAGAGGAGAAGGAAGCAUGUUGAAGAGCUUUUUCAGAAGGAGCGUGCGGAUUAUGAUAGAGUUGACCAGGAAGCUGAUGAAUGGAGGGCUAAGCAAAUAGCCAAGGACAUUGCAAAACAGAGGGUGGAAAGCAUGCAGCAGAUUGCUAGAAAGAAAACAAAUGUGGAAAGAAAGCGCCUAGAAUCUGAGCUGGAGCUUGCCCUAAUGGUCGAGAAACUUCAGGAGCUUCGGUCUAUAAGAGUUCAAAAAAUGAAGAAACAAGAUCCAUACUUGAACACAGAUGCAAGUACAAUGUCCCCCUUUGAGCAUGGUGAGGUGUCUGUUCUUGAUAACGGUGGAUAGGUACAGCUCCCUAAUACUUCCAUUUAAUACACAUUUUAAAAUUUGCAGCCUCGAUGGUAUCUACCUAGCAUGUGGUAUUUGUAGGUUGACUUGGAUUUAGAGAAUUAUGAGUGUUUCAUAGAUGUUACUCUGACGAGGGAUAACAAUAUUACCACUAGAAAUAUAUACUAGUCUGUCAUUGAGAAGGAGAGAAGGGGUGAUUAUAUUGGAAAGACUUUAUAGACACAUUCAGUGAAGAUUUGUUCUCAGGUUGAUCUGUGCAAUUUUGAUGGCACUCAUGGUGUCAAGUGAGGACUGGUUGAUCUGUGCAAUCACUGGACAGCGUUGAAUGUACACAAAUGACAAAUUUGACAUGCUCAUAUUGGGUCCAGUGUCCCAGUGGGUCAAGGCUAUGAUUUGACUGAAACUUGUGCUGGAGCAGCUUUCACUGAAUGGGAUGACACCACUUCCUUGCUGCUAUGUGAAGCUUGUUUCAUGGGAAGAAGGUGGUUACAAGAUUUCUGAUUAUCCGAUGCUGAGAGGAGAGGUAGUGGUUGGCGGACACAGUACAACAAAAGGCUAUAGGACUAACUGUAUUGUAUGUGAUAUUCUGUGAACUUAUAUAUUUGGACUUGUGUGAAUUUGUGAUAUGAACAUAUAUCAAUGUGUUUG
Zea mays is the source of this 1760-nucleotide RNA transcript. RefSeq lists it as uncharacterized. The record is from RefSeq and is marked validated. The transcript is spliced from 9 exons. NCBI's taxonomy places the organism in Eukaryota, Viridiplantae, Streptophyta, Magnoliopsida, Poales, Poaceae.